RNAcentral lists this ribosomal RNA (465 nucleotides) under Vreelandella stevensii. Its description in RNAcentral is "partial 16S ribosomal RNA". It matches the Rfam family "Bacterial small subunit ribosomal RNA", at positions 338 to 795 of the family's 1533-position model. The record is from RNAcentral. Lineage: Bacteria; Pseudomonadati; Pseudomonadota; Gammaproteobacteria; Oceanospirillales; Halomonadaceae.
CCUACGGGUGGCAGCAGUGGGGAAUAUUGGACAAUGGGGGCAACCCUGAUCCAGCCAUGCCGCGUGUGUGAAGAAGGCCCUCGGGUUGUAAAGCACUUUCAGUGAGGAAGAACGCCUGGUGGUUAAUACCCAUCAGGAAAGACAUCACUCACAGAAGAAGCACCGGCUAACUCCGUGCCAGCAGCCGCGGUAAUACGGAGGGUGCGAGCGUUAAUCGGAAUUACUGGGCGUAAAGCGCGCGUAGGUGGCUUGAUAAGCCGGUUGUGAAAGCCCCGGGCUCAACCUGGGAACGGCAUCCGGAACUGUCAAGCUAGAGUGCAGGAGAGGAAGGUAGAAUUACCGGUGUAGCGGUGAAAUGCGUAGAGAUCGGGAGGAAUACCAGUGGCGAAGGCGGCCUUCUGGACUGACACUGACACUGAGGUGCGAAAGCGUGGGUAGCAAACAGGAUUAGAUACCCGAGUAGUC